AAUGAGCCUUUUGUUAUAUUUUUAAUGCCAUUAUUACAUUAUCAAGUGCACAUAUAACCGGUAUUAAACACAAUGUUAAGAAUUAUGCUUUUUAGUAUAAUUUUGAUCCAAAACCUUCUACUUCAACAACUAUCUGAAGCUUCAGGAGAUGUUAUACAUAUUAAUGUAACAAAUGUCGCAUCAAAUACAAAAGAUGGCAAGACAGAGAAAAGUGUUCAAAAAUACAUAUUGGAUCUACAUGACAAGAAAAAAGUAAAGCAUGUAACAUAACAUUUAUACACAAUAAAUUAUGUUUUUAUCCAAUGAAAA
Long non-coding RNA from Pieris napi, 309 nucleotides. RefSeq lists it as uncharacterized. The record is from RefSeq and is a predicted model, not a curated record. Lineage: Eukaryota; Metazoa; Arthropoda; Insecta; Lepidoptera; Pieridae. The transcript is spliced from 3 exons.